CUUUUGCCGGUUGCUGUCGCUGCUUUGCCGGAGAAGAGGGAGAGGGCGGCGACAGCAACCGGCAAAAGCUCCGGCUGAAGCAGCAACAACAAACGACGGAAAUAGCAGCGCCACCACUCGCAUACUUAUCCGGUGAAGACACCAUCAGCGUCAGCAGCUCCAGGAGGCGAGCACCACAGAUGAUAUCAACUCCGACCUUGUUAGAGAAAACAUUCAGAUCUGUCCAAAAGGGUUGGGUUCAAGAAAUGGCGAGUUUUGUGAAGUCAUUAGAUAACAAAUUGGAAGUUGAAAUUGAAGGAUUUUAUGGUGAUUCAAUUCCUGAAAGGAAAUCAGUGAAUCCUGGUUAUCAAGUUCGAACAAAUUUCUUUAGUAACCAGCUUAUCAAUGAAAUUGAUUUUUGCUACAAUCCGUUCAUACAUUGACCAAUGGGUAUCUGAA
RNAcentral lists this unclassified non-coding RNA (438 nucleotides) under Hevea brasiliensis (rubber tree). Lineage: Eukaryota; Viridiplantae; Streptophyta; Magnoliopsida; Malpighiales; Euphorbiaceae. The record is from RNAcentral.